UUCGCCCUUAGAGUUUGAUCCUGGCUCAGGACGAACGCUGGCGGCGCGCCUAACACAUGCAAGUCGAACGAGCGAGAGAGAGCUUGCUUUCUUGAGCGAGUGGCGAACGGGUGAGUAACGCGUGAGGAACCUGCCUCAAAGAGGGGGACAACAGUUGGAAACGACUGCUAAUACCGCAUAAGCCCACAGCUCGGCAUCGAGCAGAGGGAAAAGGAGCAAUCCGCUUUGAGAUGGCCUCGCGUCCGAUUAGCUAGUUGGUGAGGUAAUGGCCCACCAAGGCGACGAUCGGUAGCCGGACUGGGAGGUUGAACGGCCACAUUGGGACUGAGACACGGCCCAGACUCCUACGGGAGGCAGCAGUGGGGAAUAUUGCACAAUGGGGGAAACCCUGAUGCAGCGACGCCGCGUGGAGGAAGAAGGUCUUCGGAUUGUAAACUCCUGUUGUUGAGGAAGAUAAUGACGGUACUCAACAAGGAAGUGACGGCUAACUACGUGCCAGCAGCCGCGGUAAAACGUAGGUCACAAGCGUUGUCCGGAAUUACUGGGUGUAAAGGGAGCGCAGGCGGGAAGACAAGUUGGAAGUGAAAUCCAUGGGCUCAACCCAUGAACUGCUUUCAAAACUGUUUUUCUUGAGUAGUGCAGAGGUAGGCGGAAUUCCCGGUGUAGCGGUGGAAUGCGUAGAUAUCGGGAGGAACACCAGUGGCGAAGGCGGCCUACUGGGCACCAACUGACGCUGAGGCUCGAAAGUGUGGGUAGCAAACAGGAUUAGAUACCCUGGUAGUCCACACUGUAAACGAUGAUUACUAGGUGUUGGAGGAUUGACCCCUUCAGUGCCGCAGUUAACACAAUAAGUAAUCCACCUGGGGAGUACGACCGCAAGGUUGAAACUCAAAGGAAUUGACGGGGGCCCGCACAAGCAGUGGAGUAUGUGGUUUAAUUCGACGCAACGCGAAGAACCUUACCAAGUCUUGACAUCCUGCGACGGUUCUGGAAACAGAACUUUCCUUCGGGACGCAGAGACAGGUGGUGCAUGGUUGUCGUCAGCUCGUGUCGUGAGAUGUUGGGUUAAGUCCCGCAACGAGCGCAACCCUUAUGGUCAGUUACUACGCAAGAGGACUCUGGCCAGACUGCCGUUGACAAAACGGAGGAAGGUGGGGAUGACGUCAAAUCAUCAUGCCCUUUACGACUUGGGCUACACAUGUACUACAAUGGCGUUAAACAAAGAGAAGCAAGACCGCGAGGUGGAGCAAAACUCAGAAACAACGUCCCAGUUCGGACUGCAGGCUGCAACUCGCCUGCACGAAGUCGGAAUUGCUAGUAAUCGCAGAUCAGCAUGCUGCGGUGAAUACGUUCCCGGGCCUUGCACACACCGCCCGUCA
RNAcentral lists this ribosomal RNA (1379 nucleotides) under uncultured bacterium. Its description in RNAcentral is "16S ribosomal RNA". It matches the Rfam family "Bacterial small subunit ribosomal RNA". The record is from RNAcentral.